This 484-nucleotide ribosomal RNA is filed under the name uncultured bacterium. Its description in RNAcentral is "partial 16S ribosomal RNA". It matches the Rfam family "Bacterial small subunit ribosomal RNA", at positions 30 to 507 of the family's 1533-position model. The record is from RNAcentral.
AUUGGACGCUGGCGGCAGGCCUAACACAUGCAAGUCGAGCGGAUGAAGGGAGCUUGCUCCUGGAUUCAGCGGCGGACGGGUGAGUAAUGCCUAGGAAUCUGCCUGGUAGUGGGGGAUAACGUCCGGAAACGGGCGCUAAUACCGCAUACGACCUGUGGGAGAAAGUGGGGGAUCUUCGGACCUCACGCUAUCAGAUGAGCCUAGGUCUGAUUAGCUAGUUGGUGGGGUAAAGGCCUACCAAGGCGACGAUCCGUAACUGGUCUGAGAGGAUGAUCAGCAACACUGGAACUGAGACACGGUCCAGACUCCUACGGGAGGCAGCAGUGGGGAAUAUUGGACAAUGGGCGAAAGCCUGAUCCAGCCAUGCCGCGUGUGUGAAGAAGGUCUUCGGAUUGUAAAGCACUUUAAGUUGGGAGGAAGGGCAGUAAGUUAAUACCUUGCUGUUUUGACGUUACCAACAGAAUAAGCACCGGCUAACUUCGUG